GAAAGAUGGCUUUGGCUAUCACUCUGGGAUGGACCUGCGGUGCAUUAGCUAGUUGGUAAGGUAACGGCUUACCAAGGCGAUGAUGCAUAGCCGAGUUGAGAGACUGAUCGGCCACAAUGGAACUGAGACACGGUCCAUACUCCUACGGGAGGCAGCAGUAGGGAAUCUUCCACAAUGGGCGCAAGCCUGAUGGAGCAACACCGCGUGAGUGAAGAAGGGUUUCGGCUCGUAAAGCUCUGUUGUUGGAGAAGAACGUGCGUGAGAGUAACUGUUCGCGCAGUGACGGUAUCCAACCAGAAAGUCACGGCUAACUACGUGCCAGCAGCCGCGGUAAUACGUAGGUGGCAAGCGUUAUCCGGAUUUAUUGGGCGUAAAGCGAGCGCAGGCGGUUGCUUAGGUCUGAUGUGAAAGCCUUCGGCUUAACCGAAGAAGUGCAUCGGAAACCGGGCGACUUGAGUGCAGAAGAGGACAGUGGAACUCCAUGUGUAGCGGUGGAAUGCGUAGAUAUAUGGAAGAACACCAGUGGCGAAGGCGGCUGUCUGGUCUGCAACUGACGCUGAGGCUCGAAAGCAUGGGUAGCGAACAGGAUUAGAUACCCUGGUAGUCCAUGCCGUAAACGAUGAGUGCUAGGUGUUGGAGGGUUUCCGCCCUUCA
RNAcentral lists this ribosomal RNA (654 nucleotides) under uncultured bacterium. Its description in RNAcentral is "bacterial SSU rRNA". It matches the Rfam family "Bacterial small subunit ribosomal RNA", at positions 202 to 842 of the family's 1533-position model. The record is from RNAcentral.